This 167-nucleotide unclassified non-coding RNA is filed under the name soil metagenome. Its description in RNAcentral is "partial internal transcribed spacer 1". The record is from RNAcentral.
UAAUAAGUGUUUUUUAUUGGCACUUUUUAAAUCCAUAUCCACCUUGUGUGCAAUGUCAGUCGGUUUUUCUUUUUUCGUCAAGAAAAAAAAGGAUCGACCAAACAUCAACUUAUUCUAAUUGAACUUUUGUCUGAAAAACUAUUAUGAAUAAAACUAAUUCAAAAUAC